This 1384-nucleotide ribosomal RNA is filed under the name metagenome. RNAcentral describes it as "bacterial LSU rRNA". It matches the Rfam family "Bacterial large subunit ribosomal RNA", at positions 901 to 2295 of the family's 2925-position model. The record is from RNAcentral.
CUUAGAGCACUAAAUAUAGAAGGGCCCUUAACCGGGUACCGCCUAUAAUUAAACUCCGAAUACCAUUGUCGUAUUUUCUUGUAGUCAGUCUAUGGGGGAUAAGCUCCAUGGACGUGAGGGAAACAGCCCAGACUAUCGGCUAAGGUCCCUAAAUAGUAUUAAGUGUAGAAGGAAGUUGGAGCACGAAGACAGCUAGAAGGUUGGCUUAGCAGCAGUCCAUCCUUUAAAGAGUGCGUAACAGCUCACUAGUCGAUUAGUGUUCCAGCACCGAGAAUGUAUGGGGGCUCAAAUACUAUACCGAAGCCAUAGAUUAGUUAAAUGGCAACAUUUAAUUAGUGGUAGGGGAGCGUAGUAAGGCGAAAAAUUAAAGAAGUUAAACCGUGAGGAUUAAUGGAGCCUUUACUAGCGAGAAUGCCGGCAUGAGUAACGAAAGAAGGUGUGAAUCCUUCUAGCCGUAAGACCAAGGUUUCCAGGGUCAAGGUCGUCUACCCUGGGUUAGUCGGGACCUAAGGCGAGGCCGCAAGGCGUAGUCGAUGGACAACAGGUUAAUAUUCCUGUACUACUGUAAUUACUGAUGGAGCGACGGAGUCAGUUAGGAUAAACCAUUAAUUGAUUGAUGGUCUAACUGCUUAGAGGGAACGGGAUUAAAUCACCGUUCAUUACCUUGAAGCAGGAUGGGUAGGGCAACCGAAUUAUCUGAUACUUUGCUUCCAAGAAAAACUCCUAGGGUUAAUAAUUAUGGACCCGUACCGAGAACGAACACACGUGGUCGAGGAGAGUAUCCUCAGGCUAGCGAGAAAACUAUAGUUAAGGAACUCGGCAAAUUAGCCCCGUAACUUCGGGAGAAGGGGUGCCUAGGGUAAUAUCUAGGUCGCAGUGAAGAGGCACCGGCAACUGUUUAUCAAAAACACAGCUCUCUGCUAACUCGUAAGAGGAUGUAUAGGGGGUGACGCCUGCCCAGUGCUGGUAAGUUAAGAGGAGAGGUUAGCCUUCGGGUGAAGCUUUGAAUUGAAGCUCCAGUGAACGGCGGCUGUAACUAUAACGGUCCAAAGGUAGCGAAAUUCCUUGUCAGGUAAGUUCUGACCCGCACGAAAGGCGUAAUGAUCGGUGCACUGUCUCAACUAUAGACUCGGUGAAAUUUUAGUACCGGUGAAGAUGCCGGUUACCCACAAUUAGACGGAAAGACCCCGUGGAGCUUUACUAUAGCCUGAUAUUGAACUUUCCUCUUGUCUGUGCAAUGGUAGGUGGGAGGCAACUCGGACUUCGGUUCGGGAAGCCCAAUGUGAGAGACCACCCGGAUGAGCGGAAAAUUCUAACUUGUUGGUUUACACCCAAAAGGACAGUGUUUGGUGGGUAGUUUGACUGGGGCGGUCGCCUCCUAACG